RNAcentral lists this ribosomal RNA (1498 nucleotides) under uncultured bacterium. Its description in RNAcentral is "16S ribosomal RNA". It matches the Rfam family "Bacterial small subunit ribosomal RNA". The record is from RNAcentral.
AGAGUUUGAUCAUGGCUCAGGACGAACGCUGGCGGCGUGCUUAAAACAUGCAAGUCGAGCGACCCGACUCCCCGACGCAAGCGGGGAAAUCGGGGAGCGGCGGACGGGUGAGUAACACGUGGGCAACCUACCCUAAUGACCGGGAUAACCCCGAGAAAUCGGGGCUAAUACCGGAUAUUCAGGCUACUGGGCAUCCACUGGCCUGGAAAGGUCCCCUCGUUAGGGAUGCAUUGGGAUGGGCUCGCGGCCUAUCAGCUAGUCGGUGAGGUAACGGCCCACCGAGGCGACGACGGGUAGCCGGCCUGAGAGGGCGGCCGGUCACAUUGGGACUGAGACACGGCCCAGACUCCUACGGGAGGCAGCAGUUGGGAAUCUUGCGCAAUGCCCGAAAGGGUGACGCAGCGACGCCGCGUGGGUGAUGAAGGCCUUCGGGUCGUAAAGCCCUGUUGGUGGGGAAGAAGCUCUGACAGGUAACCCACUGAGGAAGCCCCGGCUAACUACGUGCCAGCAGCCGCGGUAAUACGUAGGGGGCGAGCGUUGUCCGGAUUUAUUGGGCGUAAAGCGCACGCAGGUGGCUUUUCAAGUCGGAUGUGAAAUCUCUUAGCAAAACUAAGAAAUUGCAUCCGAAACUGGAUUGCUUGAGGUCGGGAGAGGAGAGUGGAAUUCUCGGUGUAGCGGUGAAAUGCGCAGAUAUCGAGAAGAACACCAUUAGCGAAGGCGGCUCUCUGGAACGAUACUGACACUAAGGUGCGAAAGCUAGGGUAGCAAACAGGAUUAGAUACCCUGGUAGUCCUAGCUGUAAACGAUGGGCACUGGAUGUAGGAAGAUAUCGAUUCUUCUGUGUCGUAGCUAACGCGUUAAGUGCCCCGCCUGGGGAGUACGACCGCAAGGUUAAAACUCAAAGGAAUUGACGGGGACCCGCACAAGCGGUGGAGCAUGUGGCUCAAUUCGAUGCAACACGAAGAACCUUACCAGGGCUUGACAUGCUGGUGGAACUAGUAGAAAGGGGAACGACCCUUCGGGGAGCCAGAACAGGUGGUGCAUGGCUGUCGUCAGCUCGUGUCGUGAGAUGUUGGGUUAAGUCCUACAACGAGCGCAACCCUUAUCCCAUGUUGCUAACAUUAAGUUGAGGACUCUUGGGAGACUGCCGGUGUUAAACCGGAGGAAGGUGAGGAUGACGUCAAGUCAGUAUGCCCUUUAUGUCCUGGGCUGCACACGUGCUACAAUGGUUUAUACAAUGAGAUGCAAGACUGUGAAGUGGAGCAAAUCUCAAAAAGUAAGCCUAAGUUCGGAUUGAAGUCUGAAAUUCGACUUCAUGAAGUCGGAAUCGCUAGUAAUCGCGGAUCAGCUAUACCGCGGUGAAUACGUUCCCGGGUCUUGUACACACCGCCCGUCACACCACGAAAGUUGGGACCACCAGAAGCCAGCGUGCUUAACCUGUAAGGGAGGUAGCUGUCGAAGGUGGGCUUGAUGAUUGGGGUGAAGUCGUAACAAGGUA